This 506-nucleotide ribosomal RNA is filed under the name uncultured bacterium. RNAcentral's name for it is "partial 16S ribosomal RNA". It matches the Rfam family "Bacterial small subunit ribosomal RNA", at positions 29 to 523 of the family's 1533-position model. The record is from RNAcentral.
AGUGAACGCUGGCGGUAGGCCUAACACAUGCAAGUCGAACGGCAGCACAGAGGAGCUUGCUCCUUGGGUGGCGAGUGGCGGACGGGUGAGGAAUACAUCGGAAUCUACUCUGACGGGGGGGAUAACGUAGGGAAACUUACGCUAAUACCGCAUACGACCUACGGGUGAAAGCAGGGGACCUUCGGGCCUUGCGCGAUUGAAUGAGCCGAUGUCGGAUUAGCUAGUUGGCGGGGUAAAGGCCCACCAAGGCGACGAUCCGUAGCUGGGCUGAGGGGAUGAGCAGCCACACUGGAACUGAGACACGGUCCAGACUCCUACGGGAGGCAGCAGUGGGGAAUAUUGGACAAUGGGCGCAAGCCUGAUCCAGCCAUACCGCGUGGGUGAAGAAGGCCUUCGGGUUGUAAAGCCCUUUUGUUGGGAAAGAAAUCCAGCUGGCUAAUACCCGGUUGGGAUGACGGUACCCAAAGAAUAAGCACCGGCUAACUUCGUGCCAGCCGCCGCAGUAA